RNAcentral lists this ribosomal RNA (519 nucleotides) under uncultured bacterium. Its description in RNAcentral is "bacterial SSU rRNA". It matches the Rfam family "Bacterial small subunit ribosomal RNA", at positions 778 to 1297 of the family's 1533-position model. The record is from RNAcentral.
AUAGAUACCCCGGUAGUCCACGCCGUAAACGAUGUCGACUUGGAGGUUGUGCCCUUGAGGCGUGGCUUCCGGAGCUAACGCGUUAAGUCGACCGCCUGGGGAGUACGGCCGCAAGGUUAAAACUCAAAUGAAUUGACGGGGGCCCGCACAAGCGGUGGAGCAUGUGGUUUAAUUCGAUGCAACGCGAAGAACCUUACCUACUCUUGACAUCCAGAGAACUUAGCAGAGAUGCUUUGGUGCCUUCGGGAACUCUGAGACAGGUGCUGCAUGGCUGUCGUCAGCUCGUGUUGUGAAAUGUUGGGUUAAGUCCCGCAACGAGCGCAACCCUUAUCCUUUGUUGCCAGCGAUUCGGUCGGGAACUCAAAGGAGACUGCCAGUGAUAAACUGGAGGAAGGUGGGGAUGACGUCAAGUCAUCAUGGCCCUUACGAGUAGGGCUACACACGUGCUACAAUGGCAUAUACAAAGAGAAGCGACCUCGCGAGAGCAAGCGGACCUCAUAAAGUAUGUCGUAGUCCGGA